AGAGUUUGAUCAUGGCUCAGAUUAAACGCUGGCGGCAUGGCUAAAGCAUGCAAGUCGCGGGAGAAGCACCUUCGGGUGUGGACACCGGCGAAAGGGCGAGGAACGGUAUCGAACGUACCCCGAAGUGGAGGAUAGCCAGUGGAAACGCUGAGUAAUACUCCAUGAUCUCUCCGGAGCAAAGCUACGGCGCUUUGGGAGCGGCGAUAUUCCUAUCAGGUAGUUGGUGAGGUAAAGGCUCACCAAGCCGAAGACGGGUAGCGGGUGUGAGAGCACGACCCGCCGCAUCGGAACUGAGACACUGUCCGGACUCCUACGGGAGGCUGCAGCGACGAAUCUUCCGCAAUGCACGAAAGUGUGACGGAGCAAUGCCGCGUGUGGGAUGAAUCGGCUCCGCCGUGUAAACCACUGUCAGGGAUUAGUAAUACUGAACAAUCCCAAAGGAAGGGCCGGCUAACCUCGUGCCAGCGGCCGCGGUAAUACGAGGGGCCCGAGCGUUAUUCGGAAUCACUGGGCUUAAAGGGAACGCAGGCUGGCUUGUAAGUAUCUCGUGAAAUCCCUCGGCUCAACCGAGGAACUGCGAGGUAAACUACAAGUCUUGAGAUGGGUAGAGGUCAUCGGAACGAUCGGUGGAGCGGUGAAAUGCGUAGAUAUCGAUCGGAACGCCAAAGGUGAAGACAGGUGACUGGGCCCAUUCUGACGCUCAUGUUCGAAAGCGUGGGGAGCAAACAGGAUUAGAUACCCUGGUAGUCCACGCCCUAAACGAUGUGCACUAGGCCCCGGGACUUUCAACGGUUUCGGGGUCGAAGAGAAAUCGAUAAGUGCACCGCCUGGGGAGUACGGUCGCAAGGCUAAAACUCAAAGGAAUUGACGGGGGCUCACACAAGCGGUGGAGCAUGUUGCUUAAUUCGAAGCAACGCGAAGAACCUUACCUGGGUUUGACAUGCACGGAUUAACUCUAUGAAAGUAGAGCCACGCCCUCGGGUGGAACGUGCACAGGUGCUGCAUGGCUGUCGUCAGCUCGUGCUGUGAAGUGUCGGGUUAAGUCCCUUAACGAGCGCAACCCUUAUCGCUAGUUGCCAUCAGGUAAUGCUGGGGACUCUAGCGAGACUGCCGGUGUCAAACCGGAGGAAGGUGGGGAUGACGUCAAGUCCUCAUGGCCCUUAUACCCAGGGAUGCAAACGUGCUACAAUGGCGUGUACAGAGCGAAGCAAGCCCGCGAGGGGGAGCAAAUCGCAAAAAGCACGCCCCAGUUCGGAUUGCAGGCUGCAACUCGCCUGCAUGAAGUUGGAAUCGCUAGUAAUCGGAGAUCAGCUACGCUCCGGUGAAUACGUUCCUGAGCCUUGUACACACCGCCCGUCAAGUCAUGGAAGCCGGGAGCGCCCGAAGUCGCCCUAUCUCAGGGGUGCCUACGGUGAGCUCGGUGACUGGGACUAAGUCGUAACAAGGUAACCGUA
This 1454-nucleotide ribosomal RNA is filed under the name uncultured bacterium. Its description in RNAcentral is "bacterial SSU rRNA". It matches the Rfam family "Bacterial small subunit ribosomal RNA". The record is from RNAcentral.